Molecule: ribosomal RNA, 460 nt
Filed under: uncultured bacterium
Lineage: Bacteria
Description: partial 16S ribosomal RNA
Rfam family: Bacterial small subunit ribosomal RNA
Source: RNAcentral
CCUACGGGUGGCAGCAGUGAGGAAUAUUGGUCAAUGGACGAGAGUCUGAACCAGCCAAGUAGCGUGAAGGAGGAAUGCCCUAUGUGUUGUAAACUUCUUUUAUAAAGGAAUAAAACGAGGCACGUGUGCCUGUUUGCAUGUACUUUAUGAAUAAGCAUCGGCUAACUCCGUGCCAGCAGCCGCGGUAAUACGGAGGAUCCGAGCGUUAUCCGGAUUUAUUGGGUUUAAAGGGAGCGUAGAUGGGUUGUUAAGUCAGUUGUGAAAGUUUGCGGCUCAACCGUAAAAUUGCAUUUGAUACUGGCAGUCUCGAGUACAGUUGAGGUAGGCGGAAUGCGUGGUGUAGCGGUGAAAUGCUGAGAUAUCGCGAAGAACCCCGAUUGCGAAGGCAGCUUACUAACCUGUGACUGACAUUGAGGCACGAAAGUGUGGGUAUCAAACAGGAUUAGAUACCCUUGUAGUC